CAGGAAGAGGGAGAGAGGAAAAUCCAAGGCGAACUGCAGUCCAUCGCGGGGGUUUGAUGAGGGAAAGAGAGAGAACGAUACCGCUUCGGUGGCCACGUCGGUGGGCUUCGAGGCCAGGAAUGGAGCACGCAACGGCGGUGUCCGCUGCUGGUAGUAGUGGUUUGGCUCCGGCACCGGCCAUGGCGAUGGGAACCUGAACCCUUAUUUCUUGUUCCUUGCCUUUCUUCCGAAUUUUGCAGCGCGGGCUUCGAUCGCCCUCGCUUUUGGAAAAAACGUCUUUAUUAGUUCCCGGCUAAAUAACGGCCAGGGUAAUAGCCAAGGAGCAUGGUCUGCCACUCCGCGGAGCAAUACAAGCAACGAUAUGUCCGUGCCGUGGACAGGUUCGUGUUACUAGAGCCGGCCUAUCCCAUCCAACGACGGAGCUACAAUUCCGGUUCGGAUUUGAAUCUUGAAC
Molecule: long non-coding RNA, 454 nt
Filed under: Elaeis guineensis (African oil palm)
Lineage: Eukaryota; Viridiplantae; Streptophyta; Magnoliopsida; Arecales; Arecaceae
Description: long non-coding RNA (EGUI_LNC019426)
Source: RNAcentral